RNAcentral lists this ribosomal RNA (253 nucleotides) under uncultured bacterium. Its description in RNAcentral is "partial 16S ribosomal RNA". It matches the Rfam family "Bacterial small subunit ribosomal RNA", at positions 524 to 776 of the family's 1533-position model. The record is from RNAcentral.
UACGGAGGGAGCUAGCGUUGUUCGGAAUUACUGGGCGUAAAGCGCACGUAGGCGGCUUUGUAAGUUAGAGGUGAAAGCCCGGGGCUCAACUCCGGAAUUGCCUUUAAAACUGCAUCGCUAGAAUUGUGGAGAGGUAAGUGGAAUUCCGAGUGUAGAGGUGAAAUUCGUAGAUAUUCGGAAGAACACCAGUGGCGAAGGCGACUUACUGGACACAUAUUGACGCUGAGGUGCGAAAGCGUGGGGAUCAAACAGG